Molecule: ribosomal RNA, 254 nt
Filed under: uncultured bacterium
Lineage: Bacteria
Description: partial 16S ribosomal RNA
Rfam family: Bacterial small subunit ribosomal RNA
Source: RNAcentral
GACGAACCGAGCGAACGUUGUUCGGAAUAACUGGGCUUAAAGGGCGCGUAGGCGGGCCGCCAAGUUCGAGGUGAAAUCCUCCGGCUCAACCGGAAGAACUGCCUCGAAUACUGGAGGCCUCGAGGCGGGUAGGGGCACGCGGAACUGUGGGUGGAGCGGUGAAAUGCGUUGAUAUCCACAGGAACUCCGGUGGCGAAGGCGGCGUGCUGGACCCGAUCUGACGCUGAGGCGCGAAAGCCAGGGGAGCAAACGGG